Molecule: ribosomal RNA, 425 nt
Filed under: uncultured bacterium
Lineage: Bacteria
Description: partial 16S ribosomal RNA
Rfam family: Bacterial small subunit ribosomal RNA
Source: RNAcentral
GUGGGGAAUCUUAGACAAUGGGGGAAACCCUGAUCUAGCCAUGCCGCGUGAGCGAUGAAGGCCUUAGGGUUGUAAAGCUCUUUCAGCUGGGAAGAUAAUGACGGUACCAGCAGAAGAAGCACCGGCUAACUCCGUGCCAGCAGCCGCGGUAAUACGGAGGGGGCUAGCGUUGUUCGGAAUUACUGGGCGUAAAGCGCGCGUAGGCGGACCAGAAAGUUGGAGGUGAAAUCCCAGGGCUCAACCUUGGAACUGCCUUCAAAACUCCUGGUCUGGAGUUCGAGAGAGGUGAGUGGAAUUCCGAGUGUAGAGGUGAAAUUCGUAGAUAUUCGGAGGAACACCAGUGGCGAAGGCGGCUCACUGGCUCGAUACUGACGCUGAGGUGCGAAAGCGUGGGGAGCAAACAGGAUUAGAAACCCCUGUAGUCC